GACGAACGCUGGCGGCGUGCUUAACACAUGCAAGUCGAACGGAAAGGCCCUGCUCUUGUGGGGUGCUCGAGUGGCGAACGGGUGAGUAACACGUGAGUAACCUGCCCUUGACUUUGGGAUAACUUCAGGAAACUGGGGCUAAUACCGGAUAGGAGCUCCUGCUGCAUGGUGGGGGUUGGAAAGUUUCGGCGGUUGGGGAUGGACUCGCGGCUUAUCAGCUUGUUGGUGGGGUAGUGGCUUACCAAGGCUUUGACGGGUAGCCGGCCUGAGAGGGUGACCGGCCGCAUUGGGACUGAGAUACGGCCCAGACUCCUACGGGAGGCAGCAGUGGGGAAUAUUGCACAAUGGGCGGAAGCCUGAUGCAGCAACGCCGCGUGCGGGAUGACGGCCUUCGGGUUGUAAACCGCUUUCGCCUGUGACGAAGCGUGAGUGACGGUAAUGGGUAAAGAAGCACCGGCUAACUACGUG
Molecule: ribosomal RNA, 468 nt
Filed under: uncultured bacterium
Lineage: Bacteria
Description: partial 16S ribosomal RNA
Rfam family: Bacterial small subunit ribosomal RNA
Source: RNAcentral